AAUGAAUAAAUUUUAAUGGCCGCAGUAUUUUGACUGUGCAAAGGUAGCAUAAUCAAUAGUCUUUUAAUUGAAGGCUUGAAUGAAUGGUUGGACGAAGUAUAAUCUGUUUCAUUUAAAUUUAUUAUAGAAUUUUAUAUUUUAGUAAAAAAGCUAAAAUAUUUUUAAAAGACGAGAAGACCCUAUAAAUCUUUAUAGUUUAUAUUAUUUUUAUUUUUUAGAUUUAUUUUAUUUAAAUAAUUUAAAUUAUUUUGUUGGGGUGAUAUUAAAAUUUAAUAAACUUUUAAUUUAAUUUAUUUCAUUAAUUUAUGUUUUAUUGAUCCAUUAAUAAUGAUUAAAAGAAUAAGUUACUUUAGGGAUAACAGCGUAAUUUUUUUGGAGAGUUCUUAUUGAUAAAAAAGUUUGCGACCUCGAUGUUGGAUUAAGAAAUAAUUUUAGGUGUAGUUGCUUAAG
This 450-nucleotide ribosomal RNA is filed under the name Trupanea amoena. Its description in RNAcentral is "partial large subunit ribosomal RNA". RNAcentral also lists the same sequence under 1 other name. The record is from RNAcentral. Lineage: Eukaryota; Metazoa; Arthropoda; Insecta; Diptera; Tephritidae.